UGGACCUCAGAUCAGGCAAGAUUACCCGCUGAGUUUAAGCAUAUCACUAAGCGGAGGAAAAGAAACUAACUA
This 72-nucleotide ribosomal RNA is filed under the name Syzygiella purpurascens. Its description in RNAcentral is "partial 26S ribosomal RNA". It matches the Rfam family "Eukaryotic large subunit ribosomal RNA", at positions 1 to 71 of the family's 3401-position model. The record is from RNAcentral. RNAcentral also lists the same sequence under 8 other names. Lineage: Eukaryota; Viridiplantae; Streptophyta; Jungermanniopsida; Jungermanniales; Adelanthaceae.